AUUUUUCAGGGAUUUUUUUUCUGGGGUGUUCCAGCAUUAUUUGGGAUUUAUUUGGGGGUUUUUCUUGGGCUGUUCUGGCUUUAUUUGGGAUUUAUUUGGGGAUUUUUCUCGGGCUGUUCUGGCGUUAUUUGGGAUUUAUUUUGGGGGGUUUUUUGCAGUUUUCUCUGGGCUGUUCUGGCGUUAUUUGGGAUUUAUUUGGGGAUUUUUCUCGGGCUGUUCUGGCGUUAUUUGGGAUUUAUUUUGGGUUUUUUUUUUGCAGUUUUCUCUGGGCUGUUCUGGCAUUAUUUGGGAUUUAUUUGGGGAUUUUUCUUGGGCUGUUAUUUGGGGAUUUUUCUUGGGCUGUUCUGGCGUUAUUUGGGAUUUAUUUGGGGAUUUUUCUUGGGCUGUUAUUUGGGAUUUAUUUGGGGAUUUUUCUCGGGCUGUUCUGGCGUUAUUUGGGAUUUAUUUUGGGGUUUUUUUGGGAAUUUUUUUCUGGGGUGUUCCAGUGCUUUUUAGGAUUUAUUUUGAGAUUUCUUUUGGGCUGUUCAGGUGUUAUUUGGGAUUUAUUUUGGGGAGGUUUUUUGGGGUGUUAUAGAGAUUUUCGGGAUGUACUUUGGGAUUCCUUUGGGGAUUUUUUUCUGGGGAUAUUCUGGUGCUUUUUGGGAUGUAUUUUGUGGGGAUUUUUUUGGGGAUAUUCCGGUGCUUUUUGGGAUUUAUGUUGGGAUUUCUUCUGGGCUAUUCUGGUGCUUUUGGGGAUUUAUUUGGGGAUUUUUCUCUGGGCUGUUCUGGCGUUAUUUGGGAUUUAUUUUGGGGGGUUUUUGCAGUUUUCUCUGGGCUGUUCUGGCGUUAUUUGGGAUUUAUUUUGGGGGUUUUUUUGCCGUUUCUCUGGGCUGUUCCGGCGUUAUUUGGGAUUUAUUUGGGGAUUUUUCUUGGGCUGUUAUUUGGGAUUUAUUUGG
This 935-nucleotide long non-coding RNA is filed under the name Zonotrichia albicollis (white-throated sparrow). Its description in RNAcentral is "lncRNA (ENSZALG00000001142.1)". Lineage: Eukaryota; Metazoa; Chordata; Aves; Passeriformes; Passerellidae. The record is from RNAcentral.